AGUGAACGCUGGCGGUAGGCCUAACACAUGCAAGUCGAACGGCAGCACAGUAAGAGCUUGCUCUUACGGGUGGCGAGUGGCGGACGGGUGAGGAAUACAUCGGAAUCUACUUUUUCGUGGGGGAUAACGUAGGGAAACUUACGCUAAUACCGCAUACGACCUACGGGUGAAAGCAGGGGAUCUUCGGACCUUGCGCGAUUGAAUGAGCCGAUGUCGGAUUAGCUAGUUGGCGGGGUAAAGGCCCACCAAGGCGACGAUGCGUAGCUGGUCUGAGAGGAUGAUCGGCCACACUGGAAGUGAGACACGGUCCAGACACCUACGGGAGGCAGCAGUAGGGAAUUUUGCGCAAGGGGCGAAAGCCUGACCGAGCAACACCGCGUGGGUGAAGAAGGCCUUCGGGUCGUAAACCUUUGUUGUUGGGAAAGAAAAUAUGUGUGAUUAACCCUGCACAUCUUGACGGUACCUAAUCAAAAAGCCCCGGCUAACUACGUG
RNAcentral lists this ribosomal RNA (492 nucleotides) under uncultured bacterium. Its description in RNAcentral is "partial 16S ribosomal RNA". It matches the Rfam family "Bacterial small subunit ribosomal RNA", at positions 29 to 507 of the family's 1533-position model. The record is from RNAcentral.